UACGUAGGGUCCGAGCGUUGUCCGGAAUUACUGGGCGUAAAGAGCUCGUAGGUGGUUUGUCGCGUUGUUCGUGAAAACUCACAACUCAAUUGUGGGCGUGCGGGCGAGUACGGGCAGACUGGAGUACUGCAGGGGAGACUGGAAUUCCUGGUGUAGCGGUGGAAUGCGCAGAUAUCAGGAGGAACACCGGUGGCGAAGGCGGGUCUCUGGGCCGAUACUGACGCUGAGGAGCGAAAGCGUGGGGAGCGAACAGG
This 254-nucleotide ribosomal RNA is filed under the name uncultured bacterium. RNAcentral's name for it is "partial 16S ribosomal RNA". It matches the Rfam family "Bacterial small subunit ribosomal RNA", at positions 524 to 776 of the family's 1533-position model. The record is from RNAcentral.